This is a non-coding RNA of Homo sapiens (human), 2539 nucleotides long. The record is from RefSeq and is a predicted model, not a curated record. Lineage: Eukaryota; Metazoa; Chordata; Mammalia; Primates; Hominidae.
AGAUAGGAGUCAGGGCGCCUGGCCCGCAGGACACUAGAGAUCUGCGGAGGAGAAGGGAUGAGUCUGCCAGGCCCACCAGCCUGGCCCCCAGACCCUCCCCACCCCACACACGCAGACACGUCUUACAAGUCCUGUGAGAUAGGGGCUGCCAGCGUCUCCCAGGAUGUGGCCCACCGUGAUCUGAAGUGCCUCUGCCGUCCCCCGGCAUCUGGGCACCACCACAGACUGCAAAACAUAGGCACAGCAGGGGGGCACCCCAAGUGAGGGCACCCUUGCCUGCUGUUCCCCACCUGCCAAGGACCUGCCUGGAGGAGUGACAGGCCAUUCAGAAACCCCCCGAGAGGCAGGGGCUGCCCGAGGUAUGCAGAACGAGCUCCCCAUUGGAGGCGUAUGUCAACAAGGGGAUGGCUAGAAUUUGGCAAAGCAUUUAUGGACUGGGGAGCUUGCGGCGUGAGACCAGUGUUCUCAAAGCGUGCUCUACGGAAUGCUACGGCAGGAUCACUUGGGAAGUUCAUCAGAAAUGCAGGUCCCUGGACCCCAGCACGGACCCACUGAAUCAGACUCAGAGGACACAGGGCCUGGAAUCUGGGUUUGUCACAAGCUCCCUCAAAUCUGACUCUCAUGCACAAUGACGUCUCCAAGCCACCGGACCGGAGAGCCCCUGAGGUCCCUUCUCCAGAGAUAACCUGGAUUCUCCCCAUUGUGGAGAUGGCAUCAAAGAGAACAGUGUCCUGGACAGGCGCAGUGGCUCACACCUAUAAUCCCAGCAUUCUGGGAGGCCAAGGGGGGCGGAUCAUGAGGUCAAGAGAUCGAGACCAUCCUGGCCAACAUGGUGAACCCCGUCUCUACUAAAAAUACAAAAAUUAGCUGGGCGUGGUGGCGCAUGCCUGUAGUCCCAGCUAUUCAGGAGGCUGAGGCAGGAGAAUCGCUUGAACCCAGGAGGCAGAGGUCGCAGUGAGCUGAGAUCGCACCACUGCACUCCAGCCUGGCGACAGUGCGAGACUCCGUCUCAAAAGUAAAAAAAAAAAAAAAGAGAGAGAGAGAGCAGUGUCCCAAGGAAGGGAUGAUCUGGAAGUCAGUGGGGCCCACACGCCCACUCAGGAAUCUGCAGGACGCAGGUGUGAGUUCAUUCUAUCCUUAUAGCCUGGGGUGUCAAUGGUGGUUGCCACCGCUCUACCUACUGGACAGGUGAGCAAACCAAGACCCAGAGAGGUUCAGUCACUUGGCCAGGGUCACACAGCUAGUGAGGAGCCAGGCUGGGAGUGGGAGCAGAUGGGCUGCUGCAGAGUCCUCGAGCCUGGGCUCUGCUGCCCUCUGCCCUCUGACCUAACCCACAGGCUCCAACCACCCAGACACCUGCAGUUUCCACCCAUUUUCCUAUCAGCUCCUCGUGGCUUUCUUGGCCGCCCAAAGCUGUUCACGUGAACGUGCCCUGCCCUUAGCUUCCUGCUCCCUUGUUCUGUGGACCCUGUUCACACACACCCUAAGGCCUCCUCCCUCCCUGGGCCCCUGCUGAAAGAGAAGCCGAUCUCCUGUCUCAGGAGCCAGUGCCGGCCGGCAAAGGGGACCUUCCUCUACUUCCUGCCACAGACCCUGUCCCCACACACUUCCUGCCCCUGCUCUGCUGGGAGGCCACUUCCUCCCCCAGUGCUGGAUUCCACCCCCAGCUCACCCUCAAACAUGGCCCCCUCUCUCCUCCUGCUUGCCCCUCUCUGCUCCCUGGAGGCUGUUCUGUCCUCCCCUCUUGAAAAGCAAUGCCAGCUUCCUGGGAUCUUCUGCCAACUCCAGCUACCAUGCCCUUUGCUCCUGUCAGCUCAGCUCCUCAAGGGAAUUGUCUACCCUCGGUGUCCUGCUUCCCCUCCCUCACCCUCCUCACCCUGCUCCAAGCUGGCAUCUGCCCCUCCACUGCACAGAACGGCUCCCCCACCACCUGCCUUUACAGGGAGGAAGCAGCAACAUGGAGGAACCGAACUAUAGGGGCUACAAGGAUUGCUCAGCUCUGAUCCCCGAAGGCCAAAAGGCAUCUUUGGCCACGGGGCUCCGGGCAGGUGGGAAGGCAGGGAAGGGGGCGGGAGGCUCUGGGAUGGUGGUGCAAAGCAUUGUGGCUGGAGGCCUCCAAGCCAAGGAAGGGCCACAGGGAGCCCUGAGGUGGGCUGGUUCCUGUCCAGCCGGCUCCCUGGGCAGCUCCCCAAAUGGGUAAAACUGUGCAGCUGGCCAGCCCCUAACCCUCCUUCCACCCUUCCCCCACCCGCCCUCUCCAGCACACACUCUCCUCUUUAACCCCACAAAGAGCCUGGCUCUGCCAGGUUAAUCAUUCUUACAAAUGCAGACGCUGGGGGACACGGGUGCAGCCUUCACAUAUCUGUGGGGCUGUCAUGUGGAAGAGGGAGCUGCGCCGUGGGGGGCAGGCCAGGGAAGCUGUGGGGGCAGGUGCAGCUCUGUUUGGACCACCUCAGAGAGAACCAGCUAUGCUGGGGGGAUGUUAAUCUCCCUGAGCCUAAAAGUGGACAAUCCCAUGAAUAAAACAUUUGCCAAUGCC